This 757-nucleotide ribosomal RNA is filed under the name uncultured Enterobacteriaceae bacterium. RNAcentral's name for it is "bacterial SSU rRNA". It matches the Rfam family "Bacterial small subunit ribosomal RNA", at positions 27 to 776 of the family's 1533-position model. Lineage: Bacteria; Pseudomonadati; Pseudomonadota; Gammaproteobacteria; Enterobacterales; Enterobacteriaceae. The record is from RNAcentral.
GAUUGAAAGUUGUGGGGCAGCCUAGCACCUGCAAGUCGAGCGCAGCGGAAAAGUACUUUCUUUUUGCCGACAAUCCGCGGACGGGUGAGUAAUGUUUGGGAAACUUUUGAUGGAGGGAGAUAACUACUGGAAACGGUAGCUAAUACCGCAUGACCUCGAAAGAGCAAAGUGGGGGAUCUUCGGACCUCACGCCAUCGGAUGUGCCCAGAUGGGAUUAGCUAGUAGGUGAGGUAAUGGCUCACCUAGGCGACGAUCCUUAGCUGGUCUGAGAGGAUGACCAGCCACACUGGAACUGAGACACGGUCCAGACUCCUACGGGAGGCAGCAGUGGGGAAUAUUGCACAAUGGGCGCAAGCCUGAUGCAGCCAUGCCGCGUGUGUGAAGAAGGCCUUAGGGUUGUAAAGCACUUUCAGCGAGGAGGAAGGCAUCAUACUUAAUACGUGUGGUGAUUGACGUUACUCGCAGAAGAAGCACCGGCUAACUCCGUGCCAGCAGCCGCGGUAAUACGGAGGGUGCAAGCGUUAAUCGGAAUUACUGGGCGUAAAGCGCACGCAGGCGGUUUGUUAAGUCAGAUGUGAAAUCCCCGCGCUUAACGUGGGAACUGCAUUUGAAACUGGCAAGCUAGAGUCUUGUAGAGGGGGGUAGAAUUCCAGGUGUAGCGGUGAAAUACGUAGAGAUCUGGAGGAAUACCGGUGGCGAAGGCGGCCCCCUGGACAAAGACUGACGCUCAGGUGCGAAAGCGUGGGGAGCAAACAGG